UACGAAGGGGGCUAGCGUUGCUCGGAAUCACUGGGCGUAAAGGGCGCGUAGGCGGCCUGAUCAGUCGGGGGUGAAAGCCUGUGGCUCAACCACAGAAUGGCCUUCGAUACUGGGACGCUUGAGUAUGGUAGAGGUUGGUGGAACUGCGAGUGUAGAGGUGAAAUUCGUAGAUAUUCGCAAGAACACCGGUGGCGAAGGCGGCCAACUGGACCAUUACUGACGCUGAGGCGCGAAAGCGUGGGGAGCAAACAGG
This 253-nucleotide ribosomal RNA is filed under the name uncultured bacterium. RNAcentral's name for it is "partial 16S ribosomal RNA". It matches the Rfam family "Bacterial small subunit ribosomal RNA", at positions 524 to 776 of the family's 1533-position model. The record is from RNAcentral.